AGACGAUUGAAAGCUUGCUUUUGAAAGUCGAGUGGCAAACGGGUGAGUAACGCGUAGACAACCUGCCUUUGAGAUGGGGACAACAGUUCGAAAGGACUGCUAAUACCGAAUGUUGUAUAUUUUCCACAUGGAAGAUAUAUUAAAGAUGGCCUCUAUAUAUAAGCUAUCGCUCAAAGAUGGGUCUGCGUCUGAUUAGCUAGUUGGUGGGGUAAUGGCCUACCAAGGCAACGAUCAGUAGCCGGUCUGAGAGGAUGAACGGCCACAUUGGGACUGAGACACGGCCCAGACUCCUACGGGAGGCAGCAGUGGGGAAUCUUCCACAAUGGACGAAAGUCUGAUGGAGCAACGCCGCGUGAGUGAAGAAGGGUUUCGGCUCGUAAAGCUCUGUUGUCGGGGACGAAUGUGAGAUACUUGAAUAAAGUGUCUUAAUGACGGUACCUGACGAGGAAGCCACGGCUAACUACGUGCCAGCAGCCGCGGUAAUACGUAGGUGGC
RNAcentral lists this ribosomal RNA (495 nucleotides) under uncultured Selenomonas sp. Its description in RNAcentral is "bacterial SSU rRNA". It matches the Rfam family "Bacterial small subunit ribosomal RNA", at positions 64 to 535 of the family's 1533-position model. Lineage: Bacteria; Bacillati; Bacillota; Negativicutes; Selenomonadales; Selenomonadaceae. The record is from RNAcentral.